CCUGGCGGCCAUAGCGCGGUGGCACCACCUGAACCCAUGCCGAACUCAGAAGUGAAACGCCCGUAGCGCCGAUGGUAGUGUGGGGUCUCCCCAUGCGAGAGUAGGACACUGCCAGGC
RNAcentral lists this ribosomal RNA (117 nucleotides) under Yersinia enterocolitica. Lineage: Bacteria; Pseudomonadati; Pseudomonadota; Gammaproteobacteria; Enterobacterales; Yersiniaceae. The record is from RNAcentral.